This 520-nucleotide ribosomal RNA is filed under the name uncultured Glomus. RNAcentral's name for it is "SSU rRNA". It matches the Rfam family "Eukaryotic small subunit ribosomal RNA", at positions 569 to 1090 of the family's 1831-position model. Lineage: Eukaryota; Fungi; Glomeromycota; Glomeromycetes; Glomerales; Glomeraceae. The record is from RNAcentral.
AGCAGCCGCGGUAAUUCCAGCUACAAUAGCGUAUAUUAAAGUUGUUGCAGUUAAAAAGCUCGUAGUUGAAUUUCGGGGUUAGUAGGUUGGUCAUGCCUCUGGUAUGUACUGGUCUCACUGAUUCCUCCUUCCUGAUGAACCUUAAUCCCAUUAAUUUGGUGUUUUGGGGAAUUUGGACUGUUACUUUGAAAAAAUUAGAGUGUUUAAAGCAAGCUAACGCUUGAAUACAUUAGCAUGGAAUAAUGAAAUAGGACGUUCGAUCCUAUUUUGUUGGUUUCUAGGAUUGACGUAAUGAUUAAUAGGGAUAGUUGGGGGCAUUAGUAUUCAAUUGUCAGAGGUGAAAUUCUUGGAUUUAUUGAAGACUAACUACUGCGAAAGCAUUUGCCAAGGAUGUUUUCAUUAAUCAAGAACGAAAGUUAGGGGAUCGAAGACGAUCAGAUACCGUCGUAGUCUUAACCAUAAACUAUGCCGACUAGGGAUCGGAUGAUGUUAAUUUUUUAAUGACUCAUUCGGCGCCUUA